UGGGGAAUUUUGGACAAUGGGGGAAACCCUGAUCCAGCCAUCCCGCGUGUGCGAUGAAGGCCUUCGGGUUGUAAAGCACUUUUGGCAGGAAAGAAACGUCGCGGGUUAAUACCCCGCGAAACUGACGGUACCUGCAGAAUAAGCACCGGCUAACUACGUGCCAGCAGCCGCGGUAAUACGUAGGGUGCAAGCGUUAAUCGGAAUUACUGGGCGUAAAGCGUGCGCAGGCGGUUCGGAAAGAAAGAUGUGAAAUCCCAGAGCCUAACUUUGGAACUGCAUUUUUAACUACCGGGCUAGAGUGUGUCAGAGGGAGGUGGAAUUCCGCGUGUAGCAGUGAAAUGCGUAGAUAUGCGGAGGAACACCGAUGGCGAAGGCAGCCUCCUGGGAUAACACUGACGCUCAUGCACGAAAGCGUGGGGAGCAAACAGGAUUAGAUACCCUGGUAGUCCACGCCCUAAACGAUGUCAACUAGCUGUUGGGGGCCUUCGGGCCUUGGUAGCGCAGCUAACGCGUGAAGUUGACCGCCUGGGGAGUACGGUCGCAAGAUUAAAACUCAAAGGAAUUGACGGGGUCAUA
RNAcentral lists this ribosomal RNA (576 nucleotides) under uncultured bacterium. RNAcentral's name for it is "partial 16S ribosomal RNA". It matches the Rfam family "Bacterial small subunit ribosomal RNA", at positions 355 to 923 of the family's 1533-position model. The record is from RNAcentral.